AUGAAAAGAAAAAGUACCCCAGAUCGGUGGGAGAUGAAUCUUUAUUGUCAUAGUCUGUCAGCAGGACACUGCAAGCAUUGGAAAAGGAAAAACAAUAAUAGUCCGUCUUUAAAUGUGGCUCUGGCUCCCUCCGCCCAAUCUUUGUCUGUGGGACUGUGCAUGGACCAGAAAGACCCCUUCAGGAGCCCUCACCCCACGCCACAGCCCCUGAUUUGCUCUCCAGGAGAACCGUUAUUACUGAGCCCAUUGGCAGUCUUGUUGAAGUCAAACGGCCACAGUCAACAUGGAAAUCCUAAUUAAUAGACGCUCAUGCUGCUCUCGGGCACGGCAGCGGAAGUAAUUAUCAUGAUUUAAUUGACUUUUCUCCCCUCUGUUAGGCACUCUGCUUUUUCCAUUUUCUUGAGCUAGGAAGGGUUAUUUUUUUUUUUUUUUAAAAAAAGCACCUCCUUUCUCUCUCUCUUUUUCCCCCUUUUAAUACAGACUGCCUCUCACCCCACUGCUCUAUUUGUCAAAUCCUAUUACAGUAAAUAUUUUGACGGCACAAAUCUCUGUGUUACAGAAAAGUCCAGCGCCUGAGCCAGCGGCUUACUUAUAAGGAGCGUGUUGGUUUUGUAAAGGUGCCGGCAGACCCAGUGAAGGUGUCUGGCGAGCAGAAGGGGAGUCUGUUUGCUCAGAGGUGCUGGUUUCAGCAAGCCCCUUGGGGGGCAGUGGGGACAGAGGACCACGUGCCCUAGAGCCACUCGAGGGAGGUGGCUGUCGAGACACAUCCAGGGUUCAAGGCAAUCUGAGGGACCGAAGUGGGCCACUUCCAAGCUCCUAGAGCCAGAGCGACACGUCUGAAGAACUCUAAGCUGCCGUCAGGCCCCUUCGGGGUGGCUCUGUGCUCUCAUGGCUUUGACCAGCGGUGGCUGCUGAUUGGGACUCUGAUCCUGGUGAGCGGACCCUGCGUUCCCCUGGGUUUCAGUCUCAUGGCCAAGGGUCCUUGGAGCUUCCCUGGGCAAGCCUGCCUGAAUGCCUUCCCCAGAAGGCUGUGCCUGGUACUGCCAGCGGUCGAAGAGUGGGCGGCCCCGGGCCAGGCGUCCUCUCUGAUCCUGUCAGCUGUGGACGGUGGGGCGGGGUCCUGUGGUCUGCUGUCCACUCUUCAGAGCUAUGGGCAAAGCCUUUUGAGGAUAGGUGAGACUGUGGGUCCUACCAACAUAGCCCUUGAGAGCCUGACUGCCUGGAUUUGAAUCCUGGUUUGACCACCUACUUGCUGUGCAUCCUUGGGCCAUGUACUUAAACUUGGCUGCAUCUUGGUAUCCUCAUCUAUAAAAUGACAGCCCUUACUUCAUAGGUUUGUUAUAAAAGAUAUGUGACCGCUCUGUGUCACACUGGAUAAACACUCAGUAAGAUGUCCACUUACCAGCAGGGACAGGUGGACAGGGGAGGCAGUUCCUCCAUCAGCAAGCGAGAGAACUCUAGAGUCACAGACUCUGAAGACGGCAAGGAGCCUGAGUGACUGUUAGGUUAGCUCUUUCAUCAUACCCAAGGGGAAACUGAAGCACAGAGAAGGGAUGCAACCUUUUAGUAAUUUCAUUAUUAAAUAAUUUUAACAAUAUAAUAUUGGGCUGUUUGGCAUGGAGCUAAAAUUAAAACAUCUCCUUAGAUCUCAUUGGGGCUGCUUAAGAGUGCUUGACUUUUAUUAGAAUAUUACACAUUAUAGAAGAAAGUAGAAGAGAAGGUGAACCUGGGACUAUUCUAUUUUUCUUUGUCUCCAUUUGGAAAUUCUGCUUUUAAUCUUUUGAAGGAAGUACCUCAUCUUUAUUGGUCUUCUUUUUCAGAUGAUUCCUAUAUGUUGGAUCAGUGGGUAGGAUGUCACCAAUCGGCUGUGUUAUUUUAGACACUUAGCCUUUCUGAGCCUCAGUUUCCUCAUCUGAAAAAUGGGGAUAUAUUACCCUACCUGGACUGAAAGUGUCUCAAGGGCAAGGAUGGUUUCUUUUUUACCUCUUCUUCCUCUUCUAGAAUGCUGCCUAACACACAUUUCUAGGAAUUUCUAGAAAUGCUGAAUGAUCUUUUGAGCUGUUGUGAGGGUCAGAAGGAGUCAGCUUUGUAGACAAGUUGUAUAGACAGCUGUGCUCCUGAAAGGGGAGGCCAUUUGAUGCAGGAAUUGAGAUUCCAAGAAGCCAAGAUACUCCAGACCUUGACGGGUAUAUAGAGAGAGGAUGUUUGCUGGUUCUUUCUUAGGAGGGCUGGAAUGGAGGCUAGACUGGAGGGGGUUGAGAAGUGAGUGGAAGAUGUAGAAAUGGUGACAAGAGGUAUAGACAACUCCAGUGAGAGGUAUGGCUUCGAAAGGGAGGAAAGAAUCAUCGCUGUGCAUGGGGGUGGAGAUAAAGUAAUGGGUUUACCAGAGAACUUUUUACAUGUUGGUGAGACAGGGCCAGGUAUAGGAAGCGCUCAGUAAAUGUCUUCUGAAUUAAACAGACGUCUAGCUGAACCCUUGGGGUUGCCAGGGUCUUUCCCAACAUUCUCAAUAAUGGUUAUUGAUGAGAUGGUUGUAAUAAAUGAGAACCUAAGACUAGCGUAUUGGUUAAGACAAUACUGAGUGCUAUAAGAGGUAAAGCCUGAAUUUCAGUAGUUUAACACAAUGCAAAAUUACUUCUUGCUCAGCAACAGUUCAGUGAAAGUGGAAGGCGGCUUUCCAUACAGAAUUGAGGGCCCCCAUUUCCCUCCAUCUUCAACAUGUGGCUUCCAAGGUCACCAUGGAAAGAGUAGGAAAAGGUAGAGAGGGUCCGUCUGCUUGCUCAUCACAUUGGACUAGGAAGGUUCACAUCACUUCCACUCCCAUUGGUGAAAAUGACUCACAGGGCCCCAAAGGUGCAAGGGAGCCUGGGAAAUGUAGUUCCUGGUUGAGCAGGCUUUUUCCAGCCAUAGUUCUUCACUCUGGAUGGAGAGCAUGAGUGUUUAGAACACAGUCCAUCUCUCUGCACUGGAAUUGUAACCCUUUUCAGUUCUCUGAGGAGCACUUUCCAACAGCUUGAGGAGACACAAUCUAACUAACCGAGAAAAUGUUAGACUCCAAAUGAACACCAGGCCCUGCUCCUGAGGGCGAAAGAGAGAUAAGUCAUUGAUCUGGGCCUCCGUUUGCCUACUUGUAUAAUAUUAAGUCCUGC
RNAcentral lists this long non-coding RNA (3149 nucleotides) under Cervus hanglu yarkandensis (Yarkand deer). RNAcentral's name for it is "lncRNA (ENSCHYG00000000565.1)". The record is from RNAcentral. Lineage: Eukaryota; Metazoa; Chordata; Mammalia; Artiodactyla; Cervidae.